RNAcentral lists this ribosomal RNA (385 nucleotides) under uncultured bacterium. RNAcentral's name for it is "bacterial SSU rRNA". It matches the Rfam family "Bacterial small subunit ribosomal RNA", at positions 329 to 731 of the family's 1533-position model. The record is from RNAcentral.
CUCCAGACUCCUACGGGAGGCAGCAGUGGGGAAUAUUGCACAAUGGGGGGAACCCUGAUGCAGCGACGCCGCGUGGGUGAAGGAGCACCUCGGUGCGUAAAGCCCUAUCGGCAGGGAAGAAACAGACGGUACCUGACUAAGAAGCCCCGGCUAACUACGUGCCAGCAGCCGCGGGAAUACGUAGGGGGCAAGCGUUAUCCGGGUUCACUGGGUGUAAAGGGAGCGUAGACGGCCAUGCAAGCCAGGGGUGAAAGCGCGGGGGCCAACCCCGGGACUGCCCUUGGAACUGCGUGGCUGGAGUGCGGGAGGGGCAGGCGGAAUUCCUGGUGUAGCGGUGAAAUGCGUAGAUAUCAGGAGGAACACCGGCGGCGAAGGCGGCCUGCUG